AUUGAACGCUGGCGGCAGGCUUAACACAUGCAAGUCGAGCGGGGUGAAGUGCUUCGGUACUGAUCCUAGCGGCGGACGGGUGAGUAAUGCUUAGGAAUCUGCCAUUUAGUGGGGGACAACAUUCCGAGAGGAAUGCUAAUACCGCAUACGUCCUACGGGAGAAAGCAGGGGAUCUUCGGACCUUGCGCUAAAUGAUGAGCCUAAGUCGGAUUAGCUAGUUGGUGGGGUAAAGGCCUACCAAGGCGACGAUCUGUAGCGGGUCUGAGAGGAUGAUCCGCCACACUGGGACUGAGACACGGCCCAGACUCCUACGGGAGGCAGCAGUGGGGAAUAUUGGACAAUGGGCGGAAGCCUGAUCCAGCCAUGCCGCGUGUGUGAAGAAGGCCUUUUGGUUGUAAAGCACUUUAAGCGAGGAGGAGGCUACCUGGAUUAAUACUCUGGGAUAGUGGACGUUACUCGCAGAAUAAGCACCGGCUAACUCUGUGCCAGCAGCCGCCGUAA
Molecule: ribosomal RNA, 501 nt
Filed under: uncultured bacterium
Lineage: Bacteria
Description: partial 16S ribosomal RNA
Rfam family: Bacterial small subunit ribosomal RNA
Source: RNAcentral